This 247-nucleotide ribosomal RNA is filed under the name uncultured bacterium. RNAcentral describes it as "partial 16S ribosomal RNA". It matches the Rfam family "Bacterial small subunit ribosomal RNA", at positions 523 to 769 of the family's 1533-position model. The record is from RNAcentral.
AAACGUAGGAGGCAAGCGUUAUCCGGAUUUACUGGGCGUAAAGCGUGUGCAGGUGGUUUGGUAAGUUGGAUGUGAAAGCUCCUGGCUCAACUGGGAGAGGUCGUUCAAUACUACCAGACUUGAGAGCAGUAGAGGGAGGUGGAAUUCCCGGUGUAGUGGUGAAAUGCGUAGAUAUCGGGAGGAACACCAGUGGCGAAAGCGGCCUCCUGGACUGUUUCUGACACUCAGACACGAAAGCUAGGGUAGC